UACGGAGGGUGCAAGCGUUAUCCGGAUUCACUGGGUUUAAAGGGUGCGUAGGUGGAUUGGUAAGUCAGUGGUGAAAUCUCCGGGCUUAACCCGGAAACUGCCAUUGAUACUAUCAGUCUUGAAUACCGUGGAGGUCAGUAGAAUAUGUCAUGUAGCGGUGAAAUGCUUAGAUAUGACAUAGAAUACCAAUUGCGAAGGCAGCUUACUACAGGGAUAUUGACACUGAGGCACGAAAGCGUGGGGAUCAAACAGG
RNAcentral lists this ribosomal RNA (253 nucleotides) under uncultured bacterium. RNAcentral's name for it is "partial 16S ribosomal RNA". It matches the Rfam family "Bacterial small subunit ribosomal RNA", at positions 524 to 776 of the family's 1533-position model. The record is from RNAcentral.